CGGAGUCUCCAACUUGCUGGUUGAUUUAUUGAGCGCAGUGAUCCUCCUCCGCUUUCACCUUCUCGGACUCCAAGCUCUAUUUUGGGGCCAGUACCAGGGUACACGGCACCUGUUUCUCCGCAUUUAAGGGAGAGUUUGGGCAUUUUGACAGCAACACCCGUCACCCCCACCCACUCUCCCCAUCCAAAAGAAACUAGCCUUGGCCUUUCCCAUUUUGUACCCUCCUCCACCUCUCAAUCCCCUACCCCCACCCUCGUACCAAUAGACCCACCCAGGCAGAGGUAAAUUCGCUCAUUGGACAGUUCGUCUCCCUUUCCCCCUGGGGAGUUGUUGCCUUUCGCGGGAGCCUGGACUGAACAAAACCCAACCCAAGAAGCAGCAUCUCAAAGUUUGGGGGGGCGUCAGUGGGGAGCCAAGAGUAGCGGGGGAGGUUUCCUUGGAGUCCGUGAAUCGCUAUGGCUCAUCGGGUAUGGUCAGAGGAGCCUCAGGAAGAUGCUGUUGGAGACCAGUUCACCGAUAUAAUCAAGAUCCGUUCUGCUGCUCACAAGUGAGAAUUUUCUGCACUUUUACUGGAGGUUGAUGCCACCUAUAGUGGACUGCUGAUGAGGCAGAGUUCUUGAGCACUUUGUGGAGUGCUUUGAAGACAUUAAGGCAUUUAAUGAGGAUAAGGAUUUGGGAAACUUUCCUCAGCUCAAUGAUGAUAAGUGGGUCAACACCCUCAUAUUUUUUACAGAUCUCUCUGUUUUGAACUUAAAGUUACAAGGUUUUGGCAAAAGUAUUGAUGCUAUGUUUUAGAUACAUAAAAGCUUUUGAGAGGAAACUUAAUAUUUUCAAGCAAGAUGUAGAAGCUAAAACUUAUACGUAUUUUCCUCAAGUAACAAAGUAUUUUGAGAAGGCCAGUGCAACUGUACAAAAUGAAAUGGAAUCCUUGCAUAUAAAGUACCAGCAUAUUUUAGACUUGUUACUUGACCAGUUCAGUUAUAGAUUUAAUCAAUUUAGAAGCCUAGAACAGACCAUGAAAAUAAUUAAGUAUCCUGAUGUAGAAGUCUACAGUAGUUUGAAAUUAAAUGGUUUCCAAUGGAUGCAAAUUGAUGAUUUGUAGAUGCAACUUGAAGAAUUUCAAGACAAUAUCUGGGCUCAGGUCAAAGCUUGAGAAUCUGUAAAGGUACUGCUUGGAGAAUCAAGAGGGGUGCCACUAUGAACAAGAAAUUUGGAGUGACUGGAACCAAUUAGCAGACACUUUAAGCACCCUGAAAAAUAUAGCAAUAACUUUACUCACAAUUUUUCCCUCUAUGUACAUUUGUGAGACCCUAUUCUCAGCAUUAAUCAAAACCAGCAAAAGAAACAGAUUGACAGAUGAAGUUAGUAGUGCUUGUUUGGGCUUGAAGUGUACAAAAUAUCAUCCUUCAAUUGAAGAUUAAGCCAAUGAAACUCAGCAACAAAGAAGUCACUAAUAGACAGGUUAGUUAAAGAAUUCCCCCUCCCUCUCACUUACCUUAGCUCAUGGCACCCCACACAAGUUAAAUAAUAUCAAGACCAACAAAAGAAACUGACUGAUAGAUGAACAAAGAAGUCACUAAGCAGGUAAAUUAAAUAAUUAGUUUUUGAUUUAUUAAAUACAGUUAUAUGUUACAGUUAUACAUUUUUGUUAUUUAGACUAUAAAUAUCAUAAAAUUAUGUUUUUCUUAAAGUGACACACCACCUGAGCUAUGCUCAUUUUUUUGGUGAAAUUUGGCACAGCAAGCUCAAAAGGUUGCCCAUCACUGAGUUAAGACAUCAUCCUGUGAUGCCAUUGGUACCCUUUGAAAAUGAAGAAUGAACAAUAACACACGUGAUAUGCAUAUGUAUAAAUAUGUAUACAUACCAUAUAUGUAUAUUCAUAAUAUCAAAUAUAUGAACACAUAUCAUAUAUGCAUAUGCAUGUGUAUAAUGUACAUUUGUAGCUGAUCUCUUGGAUGAGGGUGAGUCUAGUUCCUAAUUAUUAUGAUUAAUAAAUUCCUGAUAUGGUUGCAUUAUUCAGAUUCAAACUAUGUAUUUCUAAUUAAGUAGGAACCAUUUAUUGUAUUUUAAAAUUUAUAAUUUCAAAUAAUGAGAAUUUGAAUACAUGGGAACACUUCAAGAGAUUCAUUAUCUGAAAUAAUUAGGAUAUCAAAAUAAAUGAUUAGGAUAUAUAUACAUAUGUAUAAAUAUUGCAUCUUGUAUCCCCUAUAUUUUAUACAUAGUCAGGUAGGUGGAGGAGUAGAUAAAAGAUAAGACUUGGAAUUAGGAAAACAUAAAUGAUGCCUCAGAUCAUUUCUACUUGCAUGACUCUAGAUAAGUAAUUUGACCUUUCUUGAAAAUUCAUUUUCUCAUCUGUAAAAUGAGCAUAAUAAUUCCUCUCAUGGAAUUGUGAGGUUCAAAUGAGGUGAUAUAUAAAAUGCUUUGCAAUCCUUAAGUCACAAUAUAAAUUUUAGUUAUAUUAAGUAGUUAAUAAAAAUUUCUUGAAUUGAUCAACUACCCUUCCAAAGACUCAUGUCUUUCUAUGCAGAAGCCUCUUAAAAUAUAUUUUUACUAAUGACUCUCUUUCCCCUCCCCUUUCUCACCUUACUUCAUGCAGCAUGUAAUUACCACUAUUAAAAAAUCUAGAAUAAAAAGAGACCUGAAUUAAAAUAGUGAAUAAUUUUUUUUGAGUCAGUUGAAAGCCUAUCUAGGAUGAAACAGCUGUAAUUUCUAAAGGUGUCUGGCUUGGGGCAGAAAAAGUGGUAGUGCGCAUCUGCAUUAUUACAUAGUCAGAAAAUGAAGUACUAUUAAGACAUGUGCAUAAUGUAUUCUAGUCUCCAGGAAGCAAAAAUUUAUAUACUGGAAAACUACUAGCAUUGCUUAUGGGCAAUAAAAGAGUUUCAUAACAGUAUAUUCUUAUAAUAGUAAGCAUAUAUUCAAACAUCUUAAAGAUAUAUUAGUGAUUAAUCUAUAGUUAUAAUUUUCAUUGGACCUUCUUGCCCAAAUAAAUAUGGUAAUUUAUGGUUUGUGUUGUUUUCUAUAAAUGUGACAUUCUAAAUUUGUCUCCCAAGUAAAAGUAAAAUUAUCCUUCCAUGACUUACAUUUGUAAUAAUGAAUUUUAGACUCAAGGUGAGUGAAGGUGACAGAGAAGAGUUCCAGUCUUGGAAACUACAACAUAUUUGAUUUAAGUGGAAAAGCCGAUGCACACAGACAGUCCCACUCUCUCGGCGUUGGAAGCCUGAGUCCAGUGGCAUGAAGUCGUUAUAUCUGGAGACUUCCACAGCUGCAUUGGAUGGCCGUGUUGUCUUUUGUGCUCCAUCACGCCCUAAGCACUCCACAGUGCCUUGCUGCAUCGCCAUCUCAGCCGUUGAACCUUCUUAUUGGUUUCUUCCGCCUGCUCCGCUGAAAGUCUUCACAUGCUGGGUGAGCAAAGCCCUGGUUCACCAGGGGUUGAUGUCGACCCGAUGGCUACCCUCACAAGGUUUAGCCGGCCUGUCGAAGCCGUUGCCCGGGGUGUGGCCGCUGCCGCAUGCUAGCAGCUACUGGGAGCCACAAGUGAGAGCUGGGUGUCAGGUGAGGGUCAGAGGCUGGCGAGCUGCCCUAGAAGGGCACGACAAGCCCUCCAUACCAGAGAUAUUACCCCUCCCUGAGCACCCCCUACACCCCACAGGAUGAGGUAGAGGAUGGUGAACCAACCUUGAAGUCAAAAAGACAUUUUUGAGUCUUGCUUCUGGCACAUACUGCUUAUAUAACAAUCAGAAAGUCACUUAACCUUUCUAGUGCACUUGACAACUUUAAGACUAUAGUUUGCAGAGAGGGUGCUGACAGACAUUAAAGAAAUGCCUCCUCUAGGAAUUUUGAAUGCCAAUAAAACCAGAGGUUAAGUCUAAAUUUGUUUUUGAAAAGGUGACUGAUUCACAGAAUCAUCAGGUUGGAGGAAGUCUUUGAAGUGAUCUAAUUUAAGGUAAUCUAACCCAAGGUUUUUUAAAGUAGCUAUUGUUUCAUACAUUGCAAUAUUUUUAUCUAGGACAGAGUCUAGCUUGUAAUAUAGUAGACUCUAAAUAAAUGCUUUUUUCAUUCAUUGCUUGACUGAAUUUAUUCAUUAUAUUUAUUAUCAUGUUAAUAAUAUAUUUUAAACAUAUCAUAUAAAUAGAACAUUAUAACAUUAAUUCUAUGGAUAAUAAUUAAAAUAUUUGCAUAUUAAUAUAAUAUUACCAUAUCUAUUGUCAUAUUUAAUGCUUACUAUGUGCCAGGCACCAUGCUAAGUGAAGUAACAUUUUAUUUCAUUUGAUCGACAAAAUAACUUUGAGAUAGGUGUUAUUGUUAUUUUCAUUUUCCAGAUUAGAAAACUGAGACAUUAAUUGACUUUCCUAGUGUCACAUAAUUAGUAUCUGAGGUUGUAUUUUAACUCAGGUCUUCUUGGCUCUGGGUCUGAUACUCUAAAUGCUGCAGCACCAAGCUGCCCUUAGUGUGUCUGUCUGUCUUUUUAUAUAGUAGGACCUCAGUUUAUGUGACAUUCCAAAAUCUUUUGCAUAAAUUGAAAACUAUGUAUAAUAGCAAAUCCCAUUAUUUAAUAUUUUAAUAUUUAAUAUAUUUUAUUUUAGAUAAUAUAUAUAAUAAUUGAGUAUAUUUAAUAAGUAUGUCUUAUGGGAACAUGCCCGGGAACUAUACAAUUAUUUUUAGACUUAUCAGAGCUACCAGCAUCACUACUUUUGUACUUUGAGGUCAUUAUUAAUAACUAAAUAGCAUUAAUGAAACAAGAGAAGCACUGCUCUGACCCAGAGAAGAUUUGUUACAAGUGAGAACUCCAGACAAAGACUAAUGCAGGGCUAAUGUUUGGCGCAGAACAAGGUAAUGACUUAUAUUAACACUCCUCAAAGUGAUAAGGAGCAUGAUUGGUGUAUGCUGCUGGGAGACUGCCCUGCUUGAGAAAUGGUGAGGAUUUAGUGGAUAAUUAGAUUUUUUUAUUUUGUGUAUUUUUCUGCCUUUACUUUCUCCUAUUGCCAAUCAUGAAUUCACAGGUGUUGAAUUCUCAUAAAAUGAGUUCUUUCUGUAGAGUUGUAUCUCUUUGUGUCUAUAUAUAUAUCACUCUGUGCACAUGUGUGUAUGUCCCUCUGUCCCUCUGUGUGUGUGUGUGUGCAUGUGUGUGUGUGUGCAUCUGACAGUCAUCUGACUCACUCUUAUAGUUUCUCAGUGACAGAAAACACUACAUCCUAAUGAAACACAUUCUAUUUUGGGGUUACUCUAAUUCUUUAGAAGUGUUUUUUUCCCCUUACAUUGAGCAGAAAUCUGCCUUCUGUAACUUUUGUCUUUUCCACCUUAACUUAUUCUCAAAUGGAUAGAAUCUAUUCCAUUUAUGUUCCUAGAACUACUCUUCUAGAUAUGUGCUGUUUAUCAAGAUAUUUCUAAAAAUGUUAUGCCCAGAAAUUUAGAUUGUAAUCUAGUUGGGAACAAAGAUCCCUAAUCUACUCUAAAUUUUGACACUGUGCCUCUUUCAUAAAGAACCUUUUAUCAAAUUACUUUUUGUGGCUGUCACUAUACACAUAUUAAACUUAUAAAUCUACUAAAAUUUCACCAUUUUUAUGUGAACUAUUGAUUAACCACACUUCUCUCACAUUACCUAGAUUAAAAAUAUGUUAAAAAUUGUUAUUUAAAAAUUAUGUAUUUAUUAAUGGAUUGUAUUUAUUAAGGACUUAAGAUUUACUCUUCUUUAAUUUUACUUAAGUCUGCAUAAUAUCUUAGGCUUCUUAUUUUGAAGGAUUAUUCUUCCCUUGUCUUCCAUUAACGACAUCUGAGGAUCUGGACUCAAAUGCUACCUCUCCCCUCAAUACUUCUGAGACCUUGGACAAGUCGCUUUUCUCAAUUUCCUUCUCUUUCAAUUACAGUUCAUAGAUCAGAGGUGCUCUGAAUCUCUUCUUUCUCUAAAUUUAUGAUCCCAUUGUCCUAUUGGAUUUCACUGAGAUGAAAUUUAACUUCUUUAUAGUAAAAUUUCAAAUUCACUUUGUAAUAGAGUUAGAGUUGAGAACCUGUGUUGAUUUCAGGAAGACCCAGGUUCUAAAUUUGUUUUCCUUACCUACUCAUGAUCUGAUUCUUGAUAAGGUGUUUAUUUUUCAGUGCCACUUAACCUUUAAGACUCUAAUUUAAAGAACAGUUAGCAUUCUGCAUUGGUAGAGAGGUCCCUAAAAUCAGUAAAAUUACAAAUACAAAUUCUUCCUUCCAAAAAAAAUACAAAAAACAAAAAAAAAAACAUUUUUUAAACCCUUCUCUUUAACCAUGUAUAGAUGGGCAUGACUAUAAUGUUGCUUUUUAGGCAUUCCCUAUCAUGUCAUUCUAAAAAUUAGCCCAUAUCUUUUUUGUUUUCUUUUUCCUCUAUAGGCCUCAUUAUUCUAUACUUGACUUAGAUUUCUAUAAGAGCCACUCCAUGUAAACACUUAAUAAUGUAGAUUCCCAAAUGCAUUAAAGAGCCAUCAUCUUAUUAGACCAUGUGAAGAAUCAUCUUAUGAGUCAUAGAAAGGCAACAGAUGUGGAAUGUGGUAAGAAUUAAGAGACUACUGAAAUAAUGGGCAUAACUGAGCUCACACCCAAAUAUAUAAUCCAAAUGGAGGAUUGUAAAGAGAAUGGUGCUCUGAUAGAAUCUGACCAUACCAGGCAUCUCUCUUGCAAUGUGUCCCUGACCCUAUAACACUGCCAUUUCUCAUUCCAUUAUUUCUAUCAAAAAUCAUUGAUAAUAAGACUAAUCAAUUUAAUGGAGAAUAACAUCUAUUCUAUAUUACAUUGAAAUAGAUAUUUACAUUUUUGAUGCUAAAAGGAAUGCAUGUAAAAAUACUUUAGCUUACGUGAAGUUUUAAUCAUGUUGUUUUAAAGCUUUAUUUUACAGUUAUUUCAGGAAAAAAAUUUUAGUUUACCAAAUCCAGUUAAAACAGAUUAUUUUUAAACUAUUGUACAAUUAAUUAUCUUUGGUAUAUUAAUCCCAUGGAAUUGGAGUAGAAGAGAUUUGGAAGAUUUUGGACCACAAUAUUGGAAAUUAGAUGGAGUUAUUUUUGUAAAUCAUUCAGGAAACCUCUGGAAACUCCUUAAAGUUUAGCCCUAGGCCAUCUUCUGAUUUAUUUGUGAACUUUUCCUGAAAUAGUUACUAGAAUAUAGUAUGCCAAAUGCUAUAAAUAUUUACAAGCCAUAACUCUUACUUCAUGGAAUUUUUGAAGUUUGACAUAUUGAAAAUCAAAUUUAUAUUAGUUUGUUUUUAAAUAAAUGAGCUACAUCAAUUUUAUUGUUUUUCUAAUUACCUCCAUUUAAGUUGGAGCCACUCUUUCCCCCCAAGCUUUUCAUGGUCCAAGGCUUCUAAAAAGAGCUAUUUACCUUAAAAGUUCUUCAGCCAAGUUAGUAAGUAUUGAGAAAUGGGUAGUUAGAUGGGCAGUUAAUUUUUAAAGUAUUAUAUAUAUAUGCAUAUAUAUAUAUUUAUAGUAUAUGUUUAUAUAUAUUUAAAGUAUUAUAUAUAUAUACAUAUAAUACAACUGAUCCUGGUUUGAAAAGUUUAUAUUUUACCACAGAAAGUGAACACAGAAAAAGAUACUCUCUGUAGGCAUUGAAAGGAGUCUACAUGGAGAGGAAUAGUUCCCAGUUGGAGAAGGCAAAAUUCUAAUUGAGUUGAGGCAUGGAAGGGGGUAAUAGAAACUGGUUAUUUGCACAAGUUUGCCCAGCAAAUCAAUUGUGGAGAAAUUUGUCUAGCACAUAGUAGGUGCUUAUUAAAUAUUUACUGAUCAACUGAGUGAUUGAAAUAACUAGGAUUUGUAGGAAUCCUCAUUGUCUAAUUAGAGAGUAAUCCAUGCAAACACUUGACUGUUAUGACUGAAGACAGGGACUUUUGUUCAGUUAAAAUGUAUUCAAUAAAACCAUAUUUUAAACAACCCUUAAAUGAGGCAGGAACUUCCUUGCUCUCUGCUGUAUAUUUUUCAGUUUUCAUUCCUUUAUUCUUUAGAUCAUUUUAACUGGAAAAUGGAAUUUAUGGUGAGCAUUGGCCCCAUUUGAUCAUUUUGAUAAGCUGUGCUUUCUUUUCAUUCUUUCCUGUGAAAUUGUAAUGGUAAUACUCUACAACUUACCCUGAGAUAAAUGUUCUUCAUUUGAAAGGGGAAUGAGAUUCUUGUAAUGCUACUAGCUUCUUAAUAAGAAAAGGUACUUAGCUACAGGCAGGGGAAAAUAAGUAUAGAAACAUUGGAUUGCUUUCUUGUUAAUCAUGUUUUUAUUGAGGCUUUCUAUUUAAGUGUGUGUGUGUGUGUAUGUGUUUAAUAUCCUGGUCAGUUCUAAAAAGAAGAAAAGUGAAAUAAGUAGUAAAAUCUCAUUUAGUGAUAAGAGGUGGUGCAAAGAGGAAUUCUUUAUUUGCAAAUAGGUUAAGUGGCUAAUUGAGUAAAACUAAUGGGGUCUACAUUAUAGAAUAUACUUCAUUUGCAAAUAUGAACGAUGUAUGCUAAUUUCAUGUUUAAAAUAUUCUGCCUUGUAAGGGAUUCUCUAAAGACAAUGUUGUUUUUCAGUUGUUUUCAGUCAUGUCCAGCUCUUAAUGAUCUCAUUUGGUGUUUUAUUGGCACAGAUACUGGAGUGGUUUGCUAUGUUCUUCAGCUCAUUUUAUAGAUGAGGAAACUGAGGCAAACAAGUUCAUAAAAAUCUUGUUCUGCAUUACACAGCUAGUAGGCAUCAGAAGCCAGAUUUGAUUAUUCAUGAUUCCAGGCCCAGAACUCUAUCCUCUGAGCCACCUAGCUACCCCUAAUGACAACUGCUAUCCCCUCUAAUGACAAUACUAACCAUUUAAAAGAUUAUGUAUAUAUUCUAUAAUGUAUAGUCAUGGCUGACAACAUUGGACUUCUGAAACUAGAGUAAUAGUAGAUUGUCCUACAUGUUACACUUUGUAGUGCAUAUUGUAUUAAGUUUGGGAAAAGUUUUCUCCUGUUUUUUUGUGUCAUUUUCCCAAAAGAAAUGUAACUUUGGCAUUUGAGCCCAUAUUUUCUAGGUGAUAAAAUUAUGGUGAAGAGAGUUAAAUGAUGCAAAUACAGCAUAGCAUUAGACUUUUUUUGAGAUUGAAAAUUAGGGAUUCUCAAAAUAAGAAUCGGUACAGUUUUGUGUGAUAGUAAAAUUGCUGAUCUUUUGCAUAUUCACAAAUUAUUACAACUGUGUGUGUGCAUAUUUUAGCAGAUGCAAGUUAUAUACUACUUAUGCCUACCAAGCGUUUCUUCUUUUCACUUUUUUUCCAUCCAUAAUUCUAAUUUCUUAGAUAUCAUUGUGUUCCCAUAUUUACACCAAAGCACUCUGACAGAAGAACAUGUUUUUUUUUUUUUUAAUGAGUAGAUGAAUAGAAGAGCAUUUUAGGAUCAUUAAAAGAACAGAGCGAUUUUCCUAAAUACCACCCAGUUUGCUAUUUACUUCUGGUCCCUAUUCAUUGCCCUUUAGUACUAUUUGUGCAAGGUACAUGUACUAAUAUGCUCACAUAAUGGAAUGAUCAUCUCACUUCCUACAAUAUUCUAAUAACGGGAGUUUUUCAUCUUUUCAGUUGUUUUUGUAUCAAUUAUUGGCCAUUUUUCCUUUAAAUAACUAUAUAUCUCCAUAAGGACGCUCUAUUACAUUUCAGAGCUUGAUGAAAUCAGUAUAAUAUUCAAAAAUAGCAUCUGAAUAAUCUCACUUGCUAAAAAAAUUCACCUACUCUAUUUGGGUCUUAGACAAAACGUCCUCUAUGACAGAGGUGGACACCUUUGGCAAGAAUAUAUCUGUCCUAUUUUAUGCCUUCUUUGUUGUUAAUGUUAGUCAUUGAACACUUUCCUCUGUAAUUACCUUUCUUAGGAAAUUUUUAUAAUCACAACAUAUGCAUGACAGAAUAAUUGAUGGAGAAGAUCCUUUAAAGAUCUCUAGCUUUCUGUUGAGUUGACUAAUUUCUGCUAGUCCAUAAAUAGUGCAGAAGAAUCUUUUAUUUUGUAUGUCUUUUAAAUUAGAUGACUAAAAAAAAUAACUUGAUAUGAAAAUGUUUUUAAAUGCCUACCUACCUCUUCUUUGAUCACAUUUUUAAAUUUUAUAACAAAUUUUAAUUUUUUCCAAAUUGUAUGUCAAUACAAUUUUAAUAUUCAUUUCUGAUAUUUUGCAAUCCAUGUUUUUCCCUCCCUCUCACCCUCUGUCCUCCCUAGUAAGGCAAGUAAUAUCAUAUAGGUUUUAUAUAUAUACAUAUAAUCAAAUAGUACAUAUUUCCAUGUCUAUUAUGUUAUGAAACAAGACACAUAUUGCUUACAUUAGAAAAAAUUCAUGCUUCAUCUUGUUAUUUUUGUAGAUAUGGAGUAAAUGUGAUAGAUUUUAUAUAGAUUUCUUUUGAGAGGCAAUGAUGGUGUUUACUUUUCCUCAAAUUAAUUUUGAUAUCUUCUCCAUAGCACAAUAUCUUGCAAAUUAAUCACUCAAUGGUUUGAAGAUUACAAAGCAUAUUCUCCUGUCUUAUUUGGUCUGCUCCAGCUUUUUUAUUCUUCUGACUUUGUGUUCUUAAACAUAACACAGAAAUAAAGAAGUUAGCAUCCAAAUAUGGUAGUUCCCUCUCGAUGACAAAAAUAAGACACCAAAGAAAAUUCUGACAAAGAUGUUCCUUUUUCCUAUUGCCAAUCAACCUGCCAGUUUCAUCUAUAAAUGGACUUUGGAUGAUAUACAAGUCUCUGAGAUCUAAAAAUAUCUCGUGUAGAGUUUGUAUAGGUUUUCUUUUCAUUUCCUUCUUCUUCAAGUUUUGCAAGGUAGCACUGUUCCUAAUCAUUUGCCAAUCUCUCCUGCAGUGUUUUACAAAUGAAAGCUAUAUUCUAACUGGCUUGGUCCUUGGAUACUGUCUCUCCACUUGACAAGAAGAUCAAGAUAUUGACUGAGGUGGUUUUGUGACUCUUUGAACUCCCUGUUGUGUCUGUUGCUUCAUGUCAGUUAUAAAUUUUCAGAGCAUAGUAAUAUACUAUGCUGUUGUACUUGCUUUUUUUUUUCUAUUACCCAUCCUUCAGCAUUCAUGUCUCAUUUGUUAUAGAUAUCUCAACUUCUUCAAUUGUAGGAAGUGUCUAUAUAUUUAACCCUUUUUAAAUCUCAUGUUGGCUUUCAUUUUUGCUUUAAGUACUCAAUGAUCUGAUUGCACAGAAUGCUGAUUUGGAUAUGACUUCCCCAUCAGGACCUUGGUAGGUUCUGUCUCCAGAUACAACUGAUUUCUCUUUCUGUUUUCCUUUCUUUUUUAUAUAGCUUGGUUCUCAACUUUUUAAGAACUUGCCAACUCUUUAAAAGUCUAUCUGUAGCAAUAAUCAAGGAGAUUCUGAAUUCUCUACAGGCUUUUAGCUUUUGACAUUUCUGAAAUUUCAGUCACAUUUUUUGGUUAUAUAUUAUUUCCAUAAGCAUACAGGAACAUUGAUAUAGAAUUCAGAGAGACCUUAGAGAUUAUCUAUUCUAAACUUGAUAAUUUUCAGUUGAAUAACUGAGGCCUAGAAGAUUUAAGUGACUUUUCCAAGGUCACACUUUUGGUAACUGUUGGAAAUGAUAAAUUAAUUUCUAGAUGUUUAUUAAUUAUUACAUAUUGUAUAUACAUAAUAAUAAAUAUUAAUUAAAUUAAUUAAUUCAAACUCUGUCUCCAAAUCCACUAAGGCAGUACUUGGUGCUUACUUUUGUUUUUUAAUUGAAAAUUUGAACCAGGAACAAAACUGCAAGCAUAACCAUUAAGCAUAUAUGUAGGUUGAGAAGAGAAGAACAUUUUAAGGUGUAUUGGUAGCAGUAGCAGCGCUAGGUGUAAUAAUGCAUAUGUAUGUCCUCCACCCCUCAAAAAAAAAGGAGUAAUUGGCCCAGACCAGCAAUGGACCAUUUUCCUGAAAUGUCAGACAGGAUAUUAUUGCUUUUUUUCAUCUUGGUUAUUCUUUUCAUUCUACAACCUCAUCUGAAGUCAUGAACCCAAAUUACUCACAGUCAAAGAGAAUGAGUAUAUCUUGACUAUUGAAAUACUUCACAGAGAAUGCAUCUCACUUGCCUAAUAUCUUCCUUCAGUGUCUCUUCCUUCUUUACUCAUAGUUUACUUUUUAAUUUAGCAAAUGGUACUUCAGCUCCCAAGUUCACUUACCAUAUAUUAUUGUUUAUUAUAAUCAUUUUCCUUUGUGUCUUUGUAUCUUGUUUCUGUACUAUCAUAUGGUUCAUGAAUAUAUUUUAUUACUACUUUGUGUCUCCCCUACUAGUUAGCACAACAUUUUUACCUAAUGUAGAUACUUAAUAGUUGUUGAAUGAAAGAAGGAUUAUAAAAUUCAGCCUGUGCUUCUUUAGAGAUCCAAAACAAACUAUUUGUUAGCAUAGCUCUAAAUCCUCAUUUGGCCCAUAUUUACAACUAGAAAGUGGGAAUAAAUAUUCAUUGUGUGCCAAGUCUUAUGCUCAUAGACUGAAACAAAAAAUGAAAAAAUAUUGCAAUCUUGAAGUGAGCCUCAUUAAGAUAACAGAAGCAGCUCAUUAAGAUGACAGAAGCAGUUAAGCUUAUCACAGCUAAAACACACAUACACAUAGAAAGAAAUAGUUCCAUAAAAGAAUGCAGUGCUUUAAGAAAACCACAUGUAUGAAGUUCUAAGCUUACAAAACAGAUAAAAUUAUGAUGUAUUUGUUUACAUUAAAUGAAUUUGCAGUGAAUCCUUUUGUAAAUAUCAUAUGCAGAAAGAUUUUUUUUUCCUAGAUCAAUGAUCCUAAUCUAUGAGCCAUGGAUAUUUGUCCAUAGACUUGAAUGUCUAACUCAUUAAAAAUACUAAAAUUUAUGAGAAAGAAUGUAAAGACUGAAUGCAGUACAUAUAUUCAGCAGAAGAAUUCUACAUUACUCAAAUAUUCAUUAGCCAUAUAUCACAGCAUCCCUAAAAUCACAAAGGAUAUAUAUAUAUAUAUAUAUAUUUUUUUUUUUGGUGUAAACCUCUGAUUUCAUUGGUUUAAAGAACUGCCACUUAGGAAACUUGCUCAUUCAGUGGUAUUCCAUCCCUUCUCUGCAACCAUAGCCUUAGAGGAUGACUUUGAUAUUUAAACUAGUCUCUUUUUAAGUGUUCACCAAUAAUCUGAGAAAGAACAAUGAAUAGAGAGAGAUAUUAUUCUUCUGGGUGUGUGCAGUUGAAUGGGAACUGAUAAGGAACUAGUUAAUUAAUCAAUGUUUAUAUUUUCUGAUGAUAUAUACUUAGAAUGGAACCUUAGUAGAUGGAGAAUCAAAAAGACAUGAGUUCAAAAUCUGCUUAUAACAAAUACUGGAUGAGUGAUUUUUGAAAAAGAAUUUAAUUUCUUAGGAUCUGCAGGUAAUCCUCUAAGGCUAUGGUUGCAGAGAAGGGAUGGAAUACCACUGAAUGAGCAAGUUUCCUUAGUUAAUGAAACCCUUAUUGGUUUAUUCAUUUUUACUAUUUUCUGCAAUAUGAUCCCUCUUUAAGAUCUUACUGUAAAAAUAAAAAAUGAAAUCAAGACUUCCAUAUCAUGCUGUCAUAAAUUUUUGUCAAGAAGAUUAUACUCUCAUUGAAAUUUUAUGUAGGCAAAGGGAUAUUACCCUGUGAAUGCAUGGACUUCUUAAGAAAUCUAGGAGAGAUUAUAAGGUAAACUUGGCUGGUCGAGGGAUGGAGAAAGCAUAUAUAUAUGUAUUCUUAAUUAAAAGAGAUACCAAAUUUCAGUUAGAGGUUAAUGAACAAAUCCCCUCUAACUGAAAUUUGGUAUCUCUUUUAAUUAAGAAUAUAGGAAACGGGGGCAUCUGGGGUAGUUCAGUGGAUUGAAAGCCAGGCCUAGAGAUGGGAGGUUCCAGGUUCAAAUCUGGCCUCAGACACUUCCUAGCUAUGUGACCCUGGGCAAGUCACUUGACACCCAUUGCCUAGCCCUUACCACUCUUCUGCCUUGGAGCCAAUACACAGUAUUAAUUCCAAGUCAGAAGGUAAGGGUGUAAAAAAAAAAAGAAUAUAGGAAACAAUGUGGGAAGUGUGCUGUAGUAUCCUCCAGACUCUUAAAUGGGUCCAUCACACACACAAAAAGAAUCUUGACCUAAGCUGUUUUGUGGAAAGUCAAGUCGAUAAAUUGUUUAUCUGGUCCUAUGUAGACAUGACUACCUUUGUUGUUGUUUGACAUGUUAAGUAAGAGUUGGAAAUAACUUGAAUCUUUAUACUUAGUUAAAAUACCAAGAUGAAUUUUGUGAUGCUGCCUUAUUAAUGGACCACCUAGGUGGCCCAGUUGAUAGAAUUCAAGGUCUGGACAUAGGAAGACUCAUCUUCCCUGGUUUAAAUCUUGCCUUAAUCGUGUACUAACUGUGUGACUCUGGACAAGUCACUUACCUUUAAUUGCCUCAGUUCAUCAUCCAUACAAUGAACUAGAGAAUUAAAUUGCAAAUCAUUCUAGUUAUUCCUGCCAAGAAAAUCCCAAAUGGGGGAAUAAGAGUCAGAUAUGACUUAAAAAAAAAGUCAAAGACAUUAUUAAUAGUUUAUGUAGUUUUAAUUAUCAUCAUCUUGAUUAUACAGUUUUAAAUCAAUAUGUGCAUAUUAUUGUGAAUAUAAUAUGAUAAUAAUACAUUGUUAAGUAUAAAUGGUUCACUCUUUUAUAGAAUCAGAAAUAAAUAUGUUUCUUGUGCAGCAACAUUAUCUUCUCUAUAUACAUGAAUUUCUCACUUUACAGUUAAGCCAUAUCAAAAUAAUAUUUUAUUUUUAAAAUACAUUUUAAUAAAUGAAAUAUUAUUUUCUUUUAGAUUUCAGUUAUUCUAUAUUCUCCUAAAAGCUUAUCAAUUUAAAAAAUAAUUCACAUAAUAGUUUGAAUAAUUUAAAAAGUUUUAAAAGUCCAUUUUUAUUUUGGGAUUUAUACUUUUCUAGCCUAAUUAGCAAGUUAAUUGUAAUCCAAUCAACCCAUUUUAUUGGUGUCAAUCUUAUGAGACAUUUACACAUAAUAAGCUUUAAAACUAUAGUUGACUCAGAUCAUUAGAAGCUAAAUAUGACAAGAGGUUGCCAAUUUAUAAAAGGUCAAGAAGUUUUCCGUGCUUAGGUGUUAUUUGAAAAUCUAUAUGUCUAAAACUAGUAUUCCCUAUGAAUGUAGCAAAAACUAAGAGUGAAAUAUUCAUGUUGGCUUUCUUUUCAGCCACCAGCUGCCUCCUAAUGACUUUCCCAGCUGUGAUACUAGUAGGAAUGAAUUUUAGGCUAUAUCCUUAAUAUAAAUGUAUUCAUUUAUUUAUGUUAAGGUACAUAUAUUAUUUAAAGCUUCCCCCCCUCCCCACUCCAUCUAUACAUAGGCAGCAUAGACUGCAGUAUUAUUUAGGGACUGGGAUGGAGAAAAUAUACAGUACAUACUUUCCUAAUAAAAUAUGUAGCAAUUUUCUUAAUAUUUCAGUUUUUUUCAAGUACCUUCCUCAAAUCUUGAGUGGUAAACAGUUGAUGGUGAACCACUUACAACAUCUUUUUUUCUGUUAGAAAUUUGGUCAAUAUUGCUAAAUAAUAAAACUGGAAUUAGCUUGCAAAUGUGAAAAAGCACAUAUAGUUUGUUUUUUAAUUUAAUAUAUCAGCUCACUCUCUGUUUCUUUCUUCCUCUCAUUGAGAAAUUUUAAAAAUCAAAACAUAUGUUAGAAGAAUUUAUAGUCAAGCAAAACAAAAUUUAUCAGACAUGGGCAGAGAGAGAGAGAGAGAGAGAGAGAGAGAGAGAGAGAGAGAGAGAGAGAGACAGAGACAGAGAGACAGAGACAGAGAGAGACACACAGAGAGACACACAGAGACACAGAGAGAGGGAGAGUUGAUCUUCUGAUUUACUGUAAUUAUGUUGUAUAAAGUCUCCAAGGAACACUGAAUUAACAGAUUAUAAACCAUUGCUUGAAGGAGAAAUACAGAGUAAGCUUCCUAUGAAGCCCUGCUCACAUUUACUUCAGCACUUUUCAAAGUGGCUUUACCUACAGAUUAUCAAAUUUCCUUGUCCUUUUUCUAGAUGUGCCAUAUCUACAUGAUUCAUUAACAUUGAACUCACAGCCAACAGCUCUAUAACUCAUGUUGAAUGAAGCUUAUCUAACUCACUAGUUUCUUUCUAAGGUCCAUCACAGCCUCCUUGCUCUUAGCAGCACAUCAGCAUAUCCUUUGGGAAUAUUUUAAACAGUGAAAUCACCUACAAAAAGCAUACAAAUGCUCCCAAAGGUAAUGAAAUAAAACAUGAAAAAGACAUAUGUUUAUUCAUUCAUUUAUUCAUUUAAGAAAUAUUUAUUAAGUACUUACCUUACUAUGUUCAAGGCAAUGGACUAACAAUUGAUUUUCAAAAAGAGGCAAAAGAUAGUCCCUGCCUUUGAGGAGCUUACAAUCUAAUGAGAAGCACAAUAUGCAAACAAAUAUGUACAAAGUAUGCUAUAUACAGGAUAAAUAGGAAAUAAUUAACAGAGAGAAAACACUGGAAUUAGAAGGGAUUGGGGAAGGGUUUUAGAAAGUAGAAUUUUUUAGCUGGCUCUUAAAGGAAUCCAGGUAGGUCAGUAUUCAGAGAAGAGGAGAGAAAAAUUCCAGAUAAAGGGCAGAGCCAGAGAAAAUGCUAGGAGCUAAGAGAUAGAAUAUAUUGUUUAUGCAACAGCCAGGAGCCCAGUGUCACUGGAUUUGUAUUGGGGAAUAAGAUGCAAGAAGACUGGAAAGGUAGGAUGGAAUUAUAUUAUAAAGGCCUUUGAAUGCCAAACUGUUUAUUUUUGUAUUUGUAUCUGGAGAAUAUUGGAAGCCAGUGGAGAAGGUUGAUAUGAUCAGAUUUGUAUUUUAGGAAAGUCUCUUUAUUGGCUGGUUAUAGUAAUUUGGAGUGGGUAGAGACUUAAGACAGCCAGACACUAUUUUAGGUUAUUGUAGAAUCAAAGUGAGAGAUGAUGAGAGCCUGUACUAGAGUGGAGAUAGUGUCAAAGGAGAAAAGAGGACAUAUUUGGGAGAUGAUGUAAAGGCUAAAGUGGCAACCCUUGACAUCAGUUUGGAUGGGAGGGGGUGAUAAAUAAUGAGUAAUCAAGGACGACUACUAAAUUGUUAGCCUGAGGUACUGGGAGGAAAAGUGUUGCUUUCUAUAGUAAUAGGGAAAGUAGAGGCAUGUGUGUAUGUGUGUGUGGGGGAGGGAUUUAAAUGAAAAGAUAAAAGUUCUAUUUUGAACUUUUAGUUUAAGCUGUCUGUUGGACAUCCAGUUUGAGAUGUCUGAAAAGUCGGAGAUGUGAGAUUGAAGGUCAGCAGAAAGAUUGGGGAUUUGGGAAUCAGCUUGUCAACUUGAAGUGAAGAGAACUAACAAAGUAGCAACAACUAGGGUCUUUGACCAGUGCAGAGGAAUUGCAGUUCUGGAUCAUUAGACAACAUGGAAAUGCAGGAGAGUCCACUCUGAGGCAGGGAGGUGUUCAUUUCAACAAGGAGGAGUAAUUAGGAAGGAGCACAAUGAGGAGGCAUGACAAACAUUUUUUUCAGUACAAAGACUAAUAGAUCUAAGAUCUUCUAAUAGUUUCAUGCAGGUAUGAGGGGGUGGGGUUUCUCCAGAUAUUUAUCAUAUAUAAAUUAGCUAAGUUUCUAUUUAUCUCAAUUUCUUUCUUUAUCUUUUGCUUAGAUUUAUUUAGUUUUGAGAGGAAAAAAUUAAAAUCACCUAUUAUUAUUAUUUUGUUAUCUAUUUCUGUGGGUACAUUUAGUUUUUUCCUUUAAAAUAUGCAUACUAUAACUCUUAGGGCAUACAAGUCCAAUGUUGGUAAUGCUUCAUUAUCCAUAAUACCCAUCAAUAUAAUAUAGUUACCCUGUUCAUCUCUAUCUGAUUAUAUCUCUGACAGAGAUCAUGACUACUAUCCCUGCCUUCUCUGGGUCUGUUGAGGCAUAGUAUAUUCUGCUCCAGCCUCUCACCUUCACACUAUGUGUGCAUCUCAUUUUCAAUGUAUUUCUUAUAAGCAACCCAUUGUGAGGUCCUGGUUUUUUAUCCUUUCUAGUUUCCAUUUUCUUUCCACAGGUAAAUUCAUCCCAUUUACUCUCAAAAUCAUAGUUACUAGCUGUGCAUUUCCAUCAACUCACUUCCACUUCACUUUUUAUCCUCCCCCUUCCUUUCUUUCUGCUGUAUACCUCCUUAGAUCCAAUUUCCUUUGAGGAAUAUCUCUCCAAUUCACAUCCCAUCCCCCAAAUCCUCUCUUAAUCUCUCUCCUUACCCUCCUAGUUCCAAAUUAUCCCACCUUUCCAAAGGUCCCUCACUUGUUCCUUUCCUCUUUCCUUUUAAUUCUUAUUCUAUCCAUCUUUCCAAAAAUUACUUCCUGCUCCCAUUAACCAUGCCCUCCUAUUUCUUGACAGGAGUUCUAUUCUAAUCUAAAAAUCCCUCCUCUAUCUUGUCCUACAGUCCCUUCAUAUUCCCUCACAUUACUCCCCUAACUCUUAAUAGGUAUUCCUCUCUAGGUAACCCUUUCUUCCUUCCCCUUUCUUAUCCCUCAAUGCUCCUUUCUCUUAAUCUACUCUUUCUUCUUUUCUUUUUUUAGUCAUCCAAGAGAACUCCCAUCCUCUCCCUCAUCUCAUCCCCAGCCCUUCCCUCAUGUUUCUCUGUACCCUUAUAAUUCUGUAUAUCAUUAUCUCUUUAUCUCAGGUCUGACAAGAGUAGAGUUCUGGUACUAAUAGUUCUUCAUCCUCUCUUCCCUUCUUCAUGGCAGUUGCCCCUUUCUUUCCUCCUCCAUAUGAGAUAGCCACCCUACUUCCUCCUUUUCUAUUCCACUCUCAUUUUGACUCAUUCCAUUACAUUCACCUCAAACUCAAGUCUACUAUCCUUAUAUGUCCUUUCACAACACAAUGAUGCCAUUCCUAGGGGCCAUAUAUGGCAUUUUCCCCUGUAGAACUCAAACAAUUUGAAAUUUUGGGUUGUUUAUGAUUAGUCUCUCAUUACCAUGGUAUAUUUCUUAUAGAUCACAUUUUCUGCUGAGUUCUGGGUUUUUCCCUAGAAAUAGUUGAAACUCUUUAGUUAUUAUAUAUCCAUUUUUUGCCUUUCAUGAUUAUGUUCAUCUUUGCUGGAUAUGUUUCUCUUGGUUGUAAACCCAAGUCUUUUGCUCUACAAAAUGCUGUGCUCUAUGUCCUGCAUUCUUUAAUAUUUCAGCUGCUAAGUUUUGUGUUAGACUGACUAUAGCUUCACAGCAUUUAAUUUUCAUUGUUGUCAUCGCUCAUAGUAUUUUCUCCUUAACCUGAGGGCUAUGGAACAUAGCAAUGAUAUCCCUCCAUUUUCUUCUGUGAAUGUCUGAUCUUUUUUUUAUCAUUUGGGUGAUAUUUCAUUAAUUUUCUUGAUUUUUUGCAUCAUCCUUAUUUCUUCCCUAUUUUUUCCUCAUUCUCUCCCAAUUUGAUUUAGGUCUUUUUAGGUUCUUCCAAAAGCUCUUUUUGAACUUGUGGACAUUUAUUUUAUUUCUUUGCUAUUUUAAAAAUAGGUAUUUUUACGUCACUAUCCUUUGAGCUUGAGCCAAAGUCUCCUCUGUCAACCAUAAUAUCUAAUCAAUAGUUGGGUUUGUAAGGGGGGAAAAAAGGUUAAUUAUUAAAAAAAAAAGAUUGGACUGGAUUAUAUUUAAAAUAGGUUGCCAGGAAUAUAAUUUAUUUCAAAGAGAUUUAUUUAUAAUUCAUAUACAUUUAUAUACAUUUAUAAUUUAUUUACAAUAUAUAGAAAGAGGGAAGUAAGAAAAUCAGAGAGAGGAUAGGGUAAGAUAUCUAGCUGAAGAACUAAGUAAUUUACUCCUGGCCCCUGGCUCAACCUGGGCAGGGAGAGUUACUUUCAACCAGCCUCAGCAAAGCCGAGGACCUGAGGAAAACUCUCUCAAGAGGUAGCUCUCUCCUGAGGUUUUUUCAGUAAAUCCAGGAAAGGAGUCAGCCUUUUCACUCACCACAUGUCAGUCCAAAGGAAGAGAUUUAAGAACAGUCUCAUUAGGAACAGGGUCUCAGGUCCAGUCAGCAGAUUCUUCUUCAGCUGAAGAUCUCAGACAAUUCUCUCACAACUCUCAGAUGAUUCUCUCUCCACAGGAAGUUGUAACUCCCUUUUAAAGACACUUUCUUUUGCAUCAUUUCCUGUGCCUUCCCCUAAUUUUAUGUCUACCAAUCACAGUUGAAACUUUGCUUUAGGACUGCUCAGAGGCAGUUUAACUCUGGUUCAUCACCCACUAUUGCACACAUGGGUCACAGACCUCCCCCACUCAAGUGUGAAUGGGGUGUUUACAUCUUUGGUGAUUAAAUCUAAAAAUAGACAGAUCUCCCCACUCAACUUUUAAGUAGGGUGUUUAUACUUUUGGUGAUUAAAUCUAAAACUGGGCAAGAGAUUUAAUUUUAUUUUCACAAUCAGGGGAGAGUUCAUUAAUUUCAUUUUCACAAUCAGGGGAGAGUUAAAUUUAAUCUUCACAGGUUCUUUCUCCUUUACUUACCCAUUUUUAUUCAUUUGUUUUAAGUUUGGUCACAAGGCCAGUAGACUUAAUUAUUGGCUUUUUACUUGAGGCCAUGGUUUCUGAUGUAGGGAGGUAUGUUAUCUUAGGUUUUAGGAUUGUAUGUUUUUUUUUCCUUAGUUAUUUUAUUUUUUUAUAGUUCAGGGUCAGAUGCACUUCCCACCUCCUGCUAAAGCCCCAGUUCUGUGACUGAUCUCAGGAACCCCAACAAGAGCCUAGUUCUGCUACUGCAGCUUCAAGCAUACUAUUCCUGUGGCUAAACCAGGAACUCUACUCACCUGGGAGUGACUGCACCUGACCCUCAUUAACCACAAUCACCAGUGUGUGCACCUCCCUCACUAAUCUUCUAUUGUUAUAGCCCAGGAUAUAGCAGGUAUCUAGUCCAAAUUCCUUGUGCUUCCAACGUUCCUUGUUUGUUAGCACCAAGGUUUGAGUUCCUGCCCUAAGGCUUGGUGCCUAUAGCCACUAUAGAAUCCCAUCCUUCAGUCUUCUGCUGUGGGCCAGCCAGAGUCUCUGGAGUCAAGGCUACAGCAGGCACAUUGGUCCUGUGGCCAUGGAUUCCAAUUGUAUCCUCUGUAAAAAUUAAAUUAUAUCUCUAAUAAUAAAAAUAUUAUAUUUUAUGAGGUCUAUUAAGGAUCAUUAGAAAUCAAGGAAUAAAGAAGAUACAAAUAAAAAACCACGUGCCCAUGGCUGAUUAGCCCAUUUAAAAUCCUGGCACUUAGCUUACCACUAUACUUGCUACAUCUUUGCAGAGGAAGAGAGCCUGGGAGCCAUUACUGCCAGUUACAUACCAAUUGUGAUCUCGCCAACGUGGAGACUCAGGAGAGAUUAUAGGGAAUUCGGGGAAAUACCAAGGAUUUCUGGGGAAUGAAGUCUAGGGUUCAAAAUGUCCAUUUAUACACCUCCAGAAUGGAAGCACCAAGGUUCAGUAAACAAGGUGUGUUUGCUGGCUGUUGAUCUCAUUCUUCUUGGCUUUGUUCCUACCCACUAUGGUGAUGUGACUGAGGCUAUCAAAGUCAGAAAUCUUUCUUCCUAGUUAUUCCUGACUGUUCAAUUUCACUCCCAGGUGCCUUUCUAUUUUUGCAUUUGAUUUUGUGAAGUUAUUUUGAGUUGUUUGUGGAGGUACUAAGAGGAUGAGGAAGCCUCAAAAUCUACUCUGCCAUCUUCCUACAAUGCAUCUCAAGUGGUAAGUUUCCAGAGAUGUCACAUGAUCUGUUCCAGUCAUGAAGUCAGUGAAAACAAAAUAGCCUCUUGUGAUCCCUGCAUUUAACAAGUUUCAUACAAAUGACAAUUAAAUCCAUGGGAACUGAUGAGAUCAUUAAGUGAAGUAAUAUAGCAAGAGAAGAGAAGAGGAUCCAGGACAGAACCCUGAGGGAUAUUAUGGGAGGAGAAUCCUUCAAAGGUGGCAAAGAAGGAGAGGUCAGUCACAUAGUAAGAGGAAAAAGAGUGUGGGAUCUCCAAAACCUACAGUACUGAAAUAAUCAGGGCAAGCCUCACCUUCUUCAGUCUCAUCUGUCCUCAAAAAUUUUGCUGCUCUACAAACAUCAAAGAAUGACCAGUAAGACAAGCCAAAUAUCAAUUUGGAGUUUAAAAAUAAAUUUUAGUGAAUAGGCAAAUUCACAAAUAUUCAGCCUGAGGAUGAGGAUGAACUUGUGUGUAUGUUUGCAUGUGUAUGUGUACACGUGCAAGUGUGAAUGUGAAUCUGUGCUCUGAGUUCAUCACCUCUUUGUCUGGAAACACCAUGUUUCUUCAUGAGACCUUAGGAAUUACGGUUGGCCAUUUUGUUGAAGAGAGUUUCCAAGUUUUCUUUUUCUUUAUUUUUUUUUCAAAAAUAUUUUCUUUUAAUCAGUCAAUAUUUGCCUUCUUAUCCUUCCACCAAAACCCUUCUUUCUCUUUGAAUAUACAUGGAAAAUAAAAACCCAUUAAACAAGUAUAAUUGAUCAAAACAAAUUUCAACAUUGCCUGUGUCUUCAAUUUUUUUCCUCUCUCAAUUCUGAGUCCUUUACCUCACUGUCAGGAGGCAGGUAAUAUGUUUCAUUAUUAGUUUUCCAAAAUCCGGUUUGGUCAUUAUACUGUUGAGAGAGCUGUCGUAUCACAUUUAUAUAUCAUAAUUUUUUCAUCAAUUCCCACAAUAUAUGAGUACUCCCUGAGAUUCUUACUCUUUGCCAAUUCAAAAAGAAUUAUAAAUGUUUUUGUUUUGUUUAGGAUUAACCCCUCUUUUAAUCUAUUCGUUCUCUAAUUUCUCCUCCUUCCUCAAUAAAAUCAGUAAAUAUUUACUAAGCAUCCACUAUUUGCUAGGCACUGCACUAAGCAUGGAAGAUAUAGAAGUUCCUUCCCUCAAAGAGUUUACAGUCUAAUGUAGGAAGACCAUAUUAAAAAAAAAAGAAAGUGAAACAGCUGGGAGAGGCUUACAGUUAUAGGAGACAUGAUAGAGAAAUUAAAGAAUUAAAAACAAAAAAUAAAUAAAACAAAAAAAAAGAAUUACAAAAUUAUUGAAACUGAGUAAGAAAUUAGAAUAUAUGUGAAAAAAUGUCUUUCCUGUCCCUUCGCCUUAAAUAUUGGAGUUUAUUUCUUCAUCCUCUAAUCCAGGGGCAGAAGGUACCAAUGAAAUAUGAAUAAUGAGAGAGGUUAGAUCUUGCAAGAUGAUGAGAUUUUUCUAUGAUAAAUUAACUGGGGGCAUGGUGAAGAAUUCAAGGAAGUCCAAAAUUAGUAUAGCUAAGUAGGAAAUUUCAUUAUUGAGUGAAAUUCAUUUCUGUAGUAUCAACUCCAUGUGUGUGUUUAUGUCUUCUUUUCUAUUUUUUUUAUCAGAUCAGAUGACAAUGAGGUUCAAGUGUGUCAGAUAUUUCUGCCCACCCCUUCCUACUUAUUUGUAUAAAUGUCUACUUAUGCACUCCAUGUGGGAUAAUUUUCCUUAACAUUCCUUUCUUGGCCCCUUGAUAUGCUCUUCCCUUCUCUUUCUCCAUCCUCAAAAUUAAGAUAACACAACCACUCCCAGGCCUUAUUUAUUUGGACUCCUCCUAUGUAUAUUGAUAUUGAUAGGGAUGAGAAGUGACAAAUGUAUCAUAUAUAAGAAGUUUAUCAUCAUUUGGCAUUUUAUCAUUGUUCAUUCCUAUUUACUUUUUUGUACUUCAGAGUUUCUUCAUAGCCCUGGGUUUUUCAUCAAGAACAAUUGAAAGUCCUCUGUUUCAUUAUAGAUUAAAUUUUUUUUUCACAUAGUAGCAUUAUACUUAGUUUUGUUGAGUAAAUUAUUCUUGGCUGUAAUCCCAUGUACUUUGGUUUCUGGAAUAUCAUAUUUCAAGUUGUUUGUACCUGUAUAGUGGUGACAGGAAUUUGUAUAUGAUCUUGACUAGGAGUCCUCAGCACAUGAAUUAAUGCUUUCUUCUACUUUAGAUAGGGUAGUGUGUAAAAAAACAACCUUCCAUUUGGCAUCAGUCCCUAUGAACUGCAAAUAUUCCAGGAUGAGUCUGAAAUCUCUUUUCUUGGUGCACAACCUUCCCCUGGUGUUGUAGUCCUCUGUGCGACUUCCUCCUAGUCCAUCCCAGACUCCAUCUGUUCCCCCAUGCUGACCUGGACUACACAAAAGACUCUGGAUUUAUCCUACAGGAUUUGGUCUGGUACAUUUUUUUAGACCAGUUAAGAGGAAUUUAUAGAGAAGAACUUGAGAUACUGCUUGGCUCUUCCUCCAAAACCAUAUGUAUUUUGCAGGAGCCUUUAUAAAACCAAAUUUUGUAACAAAUAUAUGGCAUCUUGUUGCCUUUUCCUCUUGAUAUCCAUUAAAAGUUAUAUUAAAAAUGAUUACAAGUCCUUACUCAUGAAUAAGCAGUUUUACUUAAAUGCUUUUUGAUUUACUAUUCAAAAUAAGUAGUAACCAAAAACUAAAUGAAUUUUCUUUUGGCAUGUUAUCUUUUUCUUUGAUCUCUAGGCCUAUAGUUUGUUCAACUAACAGUGCCCUUCUAAAUGACACCUUAGCAGUUAGCUGAUGUUUAGAAAAUAGAGUUUUGAGGGGCAGAGUCAAGAUGGUGGCUUAGAAGCAGCAAAAGUUGAUUGCUCUGUGAAAACCCUUCCACCAGAGUCAAAAAACAAAGCUCUUCAAGGGGGACAGAAAAUCAAAUCCAACAAUAAGACAGAACUGGGGGACUCUCCUGCUGGAUUCAACUUAAAGAUAUGCAGAGAUGGUUGAAUUCUCAGGUUUAAGGAAAAGAAAAAAGGAAGUCCCAGUGCCCCUCCUCCACCUACCAUGCUGAGAUUAGGGUGGUUGGUGGAAUCUCCCAGCAAGGACUCCAACUAAGACAGACUACCUAGCUACCACAACUUUCUGAAGCUCGGAGCUCUGACCACAGCUGGCAAGGAGGCACCUGGAGGAGAGAAGCAGAGAAAAUGGAAGGCUGAUCUCAGCCUUUACCUACCAUACCUCCAUUUUAGUCCUCUGCCUUUGGAAGUUUUGACCUCAAGGCACAUUUGCCUCUGCAGAUCAGUUCAACUGGUUUAAUCCAGUUUAUCAAUAAUGCAGAGAGAAGCCUCCAGAGAGCAGAAAAGCUCAAUACUAUAAAGCUAAUAACCAGAAGAGCAAGUGUACAAAAAAGACAACGCCAAAGUCAAAAACCAGAUAGGUCUCUCCUACUUGAUUCAACCUGAAAGGUACACAGAUAAAGUCUAAUUCACAGGUGUAAGUGAAAGCUCCAAUACUCCUCCCCCAUCUACUGCUCUGAAACCCUCAAUAAGAAUUCAGUUGAUUGGGAUCCCAGGGCAAAGUUUGCAACCCCAAUGGAGUACCUUGGUCCCACCAUGGGAAGCUCAGGGCUCUGACUGGGAGCAACUGGCAUGGAGAGGACUGACAGACAGAAGUAGAGAGGAGGACCAAGGGCAGCUGGGAAAGAUCUGGCCUUGGGUCACAUUAAUACAUCAGGUCAUUUUCUGCAGCCUAAUCCAGUUAAUCAGCAGAACAGAGAAGAAGCCCCUUUUAGGGCAGAAAAAAACUAAACUCACUGAUCUCAAAUAAACAGAGGAGCAAGAAUGUAGUUAAAAAGAAGAGGGAAAGAAGGAAAAAAAAUAUGAAAAAAAGAGAAAAAGAAAAAAGGAAAUUACAAUGGAUAGUUUCUAAUUAGGUAAUGAACAAAGAACAAGUGAAAGAGAAGGACAACACCAGGCAAAAACUCAGAAACUCCCAUGAAUUGAACUCAGGCUUUGGAAGAACUCAAAACAUAACUUUUAAAACAAUUAAGAGAGAUUAAAAAAAUUGGGAAAGGAGCUUAAAAAUCAAAAUAGAUCAUUUGGAAAUAGAGGCACAUAAACUAAAACAACAAAAUAGUGUCUUUAAAGCCAGAAUUGAGCAGCUCAAAAAUGAGACAAAGAAAGUAAAAGAUUAAAACAAUGACCUACAUAGAAAGUAGAGUUUUAAAUGGAAAAUUAUGCUACUGAUCUACUCUCAAUAUAUUAUAUACUCUGAAUUAUGAUAGAGAAUACAAAUAGUUUAUAGUCAAGCUAUAUGCUUCACAGAACAAAUAAUAUACAUUUACAAAGCAACCAAAUGAGUUUAGAAAUUAUAUCUCUGGCUGAGGAGGAGGAGGGUUACAUUAACUUUCUUUAUUCUAAGAUGACCAUUACUUUAUACAAUGUUCAACACCAAUACUUCAUUGUGACGUGGAAUUUCUGGUUUCCUUAAGUGUAUGCUAAUGGAACUGGAAAGUUCUAUUUACAAAUGUUCUAAAAAAAAAGACUGCAUCCAAUUUCUAAAAACUGACCUAAAUAAGUGUGGACUGAUUUAAUUCCAGUCGCCUCCCCAUUAAUCCUUUUUAUGUUUUUUUGAAACCUAUAAUCUAUACUAAAUAUUGAUUUUAAGUCAGAAGAGCACUAAGGGCUAGGCCAUUGGUGUUAAGUGACUUGCUCAGGAUCACAGAGCUAGGAAAUAUCUGAGUCAAUAUUUGAACCUAAGUGUUCCCUCUAAGUCUGGGACCCUAUCCACUGUGAUACCUAGCUUUCCCCUAAGUGAUGAAUUCUUUAGCCUCAGCACCUGAUAAACUAAAUACUAAAGACUCAUGUCCUCAAACAAAUGUGAUUACUUCUUGCUUCUUCAAAGACAGUAUCAGAGUGGCAGGAAAGGAGCAAGAACAUUCUGAGAGUCACCUAGUCUUUAGAUUAUCUCUAAAUAUUUCCUAAAUAAUUGAUGCAAUUUUAAUAUUGAUAAUUAAUAUUUUGUCCAAUGACCAAUUUUUACAAAUAGUACUAGAAGAACUGAGUAACAGCUAUGAAUGAAACAAGAAGAUGAAAGGAAGUUAUGGAAGGAUGGCUCCUCUUAUAGGAAAAGCAAAUACAGGUAUCAAUGGAAUUUUAUUUUGUGUUCAAAGCAAUGUUCCAUGUAAUAUUUAGUCAUUUGGUAUUGCAGUGUUUAUGAUAAGUACUGGGAAAAAUGUCAUAUUAAAUAAAAUUGUGGUAUACAUGACAUCUGUUUCAGAUAAAGAAAUUUAACAAAUGAGUUUUGCUUUCUAGUUUCAAUCAAUAUACACUAAUAGGCACAGAAAUAAUGAGAUAAAGUUGUGUUAAUACAUAUACUGAUUAAAGAUAAAUAUAUACAUAUUUGUAUCAUGCCCUUAUGUGCACUUAUUUUCAUGUACAUAUAUGUUGUAAUAUAUUGUUCUAGAGUAAGAAGCAAAAAUAUUUGGUUCAUUAAAGAAAAAUGCUAUCUUAAAAGCUCUCUGUCUAUAAAGUGUUGUCCAUGUGAAUGUAAAAAUCAUACAAGUAUUUAAAGGAUGCAAAAAUAAAGAUUCCUUUGCUUAAUGAAUCUUUCAUAAGAACUAUCAAGGCAUUGCAUAAAAUAGGAAGAUGUAUGCUUGCCAAAAGUGUUUGCUACUAUCUUAGAGAGUGUCUAACAUGAAGUCCAAAUGGAAGAGGUCUCUCCUACAAGUGAUAAGUUCCAAUUUUUUUUCUUUUAGUGAUUUACAAACUAUAAGAACCCUUCAAAGAUUCUGCAAUGAAAUGAAAAAGAAUUUUUACAAAUUGCCCAUACAGGAAAAUGAAUGGUUGAAGAAUGCCUUUUCCAGGCAAUGAAUUUAGAUGGAAAACAUUAGAUAUGGUUAGUCUAUCAAUGGAUAAGAACGAGUGUUAGUUGAGUUAAUCAAAUCACCCCUAUUCCACUUUAACUGACAAAAUGCUACCCUUAUAUAUUUGUCAGGUGAAAACUAAUUCCAUUUGAAUCAAUGAUUAUUAUGAAUAAGGGAAGGGAUGUCUAUUUAAUUAUGGUAUUUCAGCAAGAUGUGUAAUUAAUUCUCUUUGGAUUCAUUGAGGGACUUGGCUAUCCUCUGCAGGGAUAGUGAAACCAAAAAAGGUAAUUUGGAAUUGAGCAUUUAGAAUAUCUGAAAUGUUAGUGGUAGAAGGUUCAAGUCAGUUCUGUGCUAAGGAGUCACUUAGGGGUUAGAGAAGAAUCCCAGAUCAGAUAUGGCCUCUCUGUCCCUCCCCACCUUUGGCAAUGAAAUUCAAAGGAUUAGAAGUUUUGGAUUUUUUCCAUUGGUAUCCUAACAAUGUAGCCAGUACAGCAGGCACUGAUGGCAGUGACUGCACCAGGAGCAGAGAAUACAUUUGUAUUGAUGAAUAGCAGAUUCAAGGAAAGCAGGCAGAAAAAUUAUACCAUAUCUAUAAGGGUUAAAUUAAGGAAUUUGACAAAGUGAGGAGAGCAGUUUAACAGAAACUUUGUUUAAUCUAAGAAGGAAAUACAGAUAUAAAUACAGAAAAGAGGAAAGAGAAAUUAUUAAUCUUAUACUCUAUAAAUAUACCUAAAAUUCCUAAUAACUACCUAAAAUUUCCUAAAACUAACUCUGUCUUCUCAGGACAGGUUCUUCUGCCUGGCACACUAGGCCUAAUCUACUCUAUCUAGAAAUUAUUCCCUAACUACCUAACUCCCUAAAAUAAUAGACAGCUCCCACCCACACACUCCUUCAAUCAGUUUUCUAUAGCAGCCCAACUAUCAGUAGCCAACUGUCAGCAUAUUCUUGCCUCUGAGACAGACCUGCUCCUUAGAGAUUCCAGAGGCAAGAGACCCCAACUGUCAGUGGCUGCUUCCUUUCCCCUGACUCACCAACUGUCCCCCCUAACUUCUUGUCGGAGGGUCUGCUACUUCCUCUCCUCAGACCUGUUCUCCCUGGUAACAGAUUCUUCAUUUCUGACUCACUCACUUGCUGAACCUGUCAGUUCUGAUCUACUUAGAAAUCCUGUUCUCUAGACUCUUAAGGAGACAGAGGGGGAGAUAAAGAAAAAUCUCUUUAAGAUAUCCAAGGGGAAUAUCUUGAGGAUCAUAGUGAAAAGAUUUUCAGGAUCACUAAGUUAAAACUCUAAGCUUGAGUUUUAUUCACCUUGAAGCAAAUUGUGUCACACAUUUUUCAAUCUUAGCAACAAUUAUGCAAUAUUUUUUCAUAGUUUUUAAAAAAUACUAAAGAGAGGACUUCUGGGUAAACAUGGCUUCAAUCUAGACACCACACACUUCCUCUCCCCGGCACCGAACGAAAUAGACUACAUCAAAGAAGCAUAAAAAUCACCUUUGGAGAAACAGAAGGACUCCCCAGUACUCCCAGUACUCCACAGAGGCAAAGGUACGUGGGGCUUGAACAUUUCCACACUAUAAUAAGAAGGAGGUAAAGCUUGCACAGAAACAUGAACUGAGCCGCCCUUCCCCCCACACACACCUCCCCCACCAAACCAGAGUGAGCUACCGGAACGCUCACUGGGACAGCGAGUGAGUGGGGAACGUCUCUGUCUGGGGAGGCACUCCAGGGACCUUGGGAUCUGGGGGCUGCCAGGAAACAACAUCUCAGGGCAGUUUCACAGGAGAAUCCUGCGCUGAGCACAUGGGCCGCAGAGCUGUACUCGGAGUGGUUGCGCUGAGUCUCUGAGCAUAGCUAAACACCAGGGGCGGACCACGUGCUGAUUACCUGGGUGGAGCUGAACACCUGGGCAGUUUGGCUAUGAUCAGGUCCCCAGCACUGUAAGAAACCUUGGAAGCUGGGAAGAACUAAUCUGAGGCAACCUAAAUUCACAGAAAACCCGCCCAUAUCACCCAGACCCCAGACCAAAAAGGAAAGGGGAAUAAAACCACCAAAGGGAUGGCUCACAUGGCCCAAAAUCAAGCCUCCAGGAAGAAAGGGAAAAAGGUGACUAUUGAAAAAUUGAAUGCCAGCAAAUCCACAAAUGACAAUCAUAACUUUGAACGUGAAUGGGAUGAACUCACCCAUAAAAUGUAGACAAAUAGCAAAUUGGAUUAGAACCCAAAACCCUACCAUCUGUUGUCUUCAAAAAACACUAUGAGGCGGGUCGAUACUCACAAGGUUAGAAUUAAAGGUUGGAGUAAGACCUUUUGGGCCUUAACUGAUAGAAAGAAGGCAGGAGUUGCAAUCAUGAUAUCUGACAAAGCCAAAGCACAAAUAGACCUGAUCAAAAGGGACAGGGAAGGUAAAUAUAUUCUGUUAAAAGGGAGUAUAGACAAUGAGGAAAUAUCAUUAAUCAACAUGUAUGCACCAAAUAGUAUAGUAUAAAAAUUUUUAAUAGAGAAACUAGGAGAAUUGAAGGAGGAAAUAGACAGUAAAACCAUAUUAGUGGGAUACUUGAACAAACAACUAUCAAAUUUAGAUAAAUCAAACCAAAAAAUAAACAAGAAAGAAGUAAAAGAGGAGAAUGAAAUUUUAGAAAAAUUAGAGUUAAUAGACAUAUGGAGAAAAAUUUAUUAAAAAUAAAUACGAACAAAAAGGAAUACACCUUUUCAGCACCACAUGGCACAUUCACAAAAAUAGAUCAUACACUAGGUCACAGAAACAUGGCACUCAAAUGCAGAAAAGCAGAAAUAAUAAAUGCAGCCUUUUCAGAUCACAAGGCAAUAAAAAUAUUGAUCGGUAAGGGUACAUGGAGAGCCAAAUCAAAAAUUAAUUGAAAAUUAAAUAAUAUGAUACUCCAAAAUCUGUUAGUUAGAGAAGAAGUCAUAGAAACAAUAAUUUCAUUGAGGAAAAUGACAAUGGUGAGACAUCCUUUCAAACUAUAUGGGAUGCAGCCAAGGCAGUACUUAGAGGAAAAUUCAUAUCUCUGAGUGCAUAUAUUAACAAAUUAGGGAGGACAAAGAUUAAGGAAUUGGAAAUGCAAUCAAAAAACUUGAGAACGAACAAAUUAAAAACCCCCAGAAGGAAAGCAAACUAGAGAUCCUAAAAAUUAAGAGAGAAAUUAAUAAAAUUGAAAGUGAUAGAACUAUUGAGCUAAUAAACAAGACUAGAAGCUGGUACCUUGAAAAAACAGACAAAAUAGACAAAAUACUGGUCAAUCUAAUUUAAAAAAGGAAAGAAGAAAGGCAAAUUAAUAGCAUCAAGGAUGAAAAGGGGAUUGGAGAAUCAAGAGGAAAUUAAGGCAAUCAUUAAAAACUACUUUGCCCAACUAUAUGGCAAUAAAUAUACCAACAUAGGUGAUAUGGAUGAAUAUUUACAAAAAUAUAAAUUGCCUAGACUAACAGAAGAAGAAAUAGAUUUCUUAAAUAAUCCCAUAGCAGAAAAAGAAAUCCAACAGGCCAUCAAAGAACUUCCUAAGAAAAAAUCCCCAGGGCCUGAUGGAUUCACCAGUGAAUUCUAUCAAACAUUCAAAGAACAGCUAACUCCAAUACUAUACAAACUAUUUGACAUGAUAAGCAAAGAGGGAGUUCUACCAAAUUCCUUUUAUGACACAAACAUGGUACUAAUUCCAAAGCCAGGCAGGCCAAAAACAGAGAAAGAAAAUUAUAGACCAAUCUCCCUAAUGAAUAUUGAUGCAAAAAUCUUAAAUAGGAUACUAGCAAAAAGACUCCAGCAAGUGAUCAUAAGAAUCAUUCACCAUGAUCAAGUAGGAUUCAUACCAGGGAUGCAGGGCUGGUUCAAUAUUAGGAAAACCAUCCACAUAAUUGACCACAUCAACAAGCAAACCAACAAAAAUCACAUAAUUAUUUCAAUAGAUGCAGAAAAAGUCUUUGAUAAAAUACAACACCCAUUCCUAUUAAAAACACUGGAAAGCAUAGGAAUAGAAGGGCCGUUCCUAAAAAUAAUAAACCGUAUAUAUCUAAAACCAUCAACUAAUAUCAUCUGCAAUGGGGAUGAACUAAAUUCAUUCCCAUUAAGAUCAGGAGUGAAAUAAGGAUGCCCAUUAUCACCUUUAUUAUUUGACAUUAUAUUAGAAACACUAGCAGUAGCAAUUAGAGAAUAAAAAGAAAUUGAAGGCAUUAAAAUAGGCAAGGAGGAGACCAAAUUAUCACUCUUUGUAGAUGAUAUAAUGGUCUACCUAAAGAAUGCUAGAGAUUCAACCAAAAAGCUAAUCAAAAUAAUCAACAACUUUAGCAAAGUUGCAGAUACAAAAUAAACCCACAUAAGUCAUCAGCAUUUCUAUAUAAUUCCAAAAGAGUUCAGCAGCAAGAACUAGAAAGAGAAAUCCCAUUUAAAAUUACCUUAGACAAAAUAAAAUACUUAGGAAUCUAUCUCCUGAGUCAAACACAGGAACUAUAUGAACACAACUACAAAACACUCUCCACACAACUAAAACUAGACUUGAACAAUUGGAAAAAUAUUAACUGCUCAUGGGUAGGACGAGCCAAUAUAAUUAAAAUGACCAUCAUACCCAAACUCAUCUAUCUAUUUAGUGCCAUACCCAUGGAACUUCCAAAAUUUUUUUUUUACUGAUUUAGAAAAAAAAACAUAACAAAGUUCAUUUGGAAGAACAAAGAAUCAAGGAUAUCCAGGGAAAUAAUGAAAAAAAAAUACAAAGGAAGGGGGCCUUGCAGUCCCCGAUCUCAGACUUUAUUAUAAAGCAGGGGUCACCAAAACAAUCUGGUACUGGCUAAGAGACAGAAAGGAGGAUCAGUGGAAUAGACUUGGGAUAAGUGACCUCAGCAAGACAGUAUAUGACAAACCCCAAAAUCCCAGCUUUUGGGACAAAAAUCCACUAUUUCAUAAAAACUGCUGGGAAAAUUAGAGGACAGUGUGGGAAAGAUUAGGUUUAGAUCAAUACCUCACACCCUACACCAAGAUAAAUUCAAAAUGGGUGAAUGACUUGAACAUAAAGAAGGAAACUAUAAGAAAAUUAGGCAAACACAGAAUAGUACACGUCAGACCUUUAGGAAGGGAAAGACUUCAAAACCAAGCAAGACUUAGAAAGAGUUACAAAAUGCAAAAUAAAUAAUCUGGAAUACAUCAAAUUAAAAAGUUUUUGUACAAACAAAACCAAUGUAACUAAAAUCAGAAGGGAAGCAACAAAUUGGGAAACAAUCUUCAUAAAAACCUCUGACAAAGGUUUAAUUACUCAAAUUUACAAGGAACUAAAUCAAUUGUACAAAAAAUCAAGCCAUUCUCCAAUUGAUAAAUGGGCAAGGGACAUGAACAGGCAGUUCUCAGUCAAAGAAAUCGAAACUAUUAAUAAGCACAUGAAAAAGUCCUCUACAUCUCUUAUAAUCAGAGAGAUGCAAAUCAAAACAACUCUGAGGUAUCACCUCACACCUAGCAGAUUGGCUAACAUGACAGCUAUGGAAAGUAAUGAAUGCUGGAGGGGAUGUGGCAAAGUAGGGACACUAAUUCAUUGCUGGUGGAGUUGUGAAUUGAUCCAACCAUUCUGGAGGGCAAUUUGGAACUAUGCCCAAAGGGUGAUAAAAGAUGUCUGCCCUUUGAUCUAGCCAUAGCACUGCUGGGUUUGUACCCCAAAGAGAUAAUGGAGAAAAAGACAUGUACAAGAAUAUUCAUAGCUGCACUCUUUGUGGUGGCCAAAAAUUGGAAAACGAGGAGAUGCUCAUCAAUUGGGGAAUGGCUGAACAAAUUGUGGUAUAUGUUGGUGAUGGAAUACUAUUGUGCUAAAAGGAAUAAUAAAGUAGAGGAAUUCCAUGGAGACUGGAAUAACCUCCAAGAAGUGAUGCAGAGCGAAAGGAGCAGAACCAGGAAAUCAUUAUACACAGAGACUGAUACACUGUGGUACAAUCGAAGGUAAUGGACUUCUCCAUUAGGGACAAUGCAAUGUCCCUGAACAAUCUGCAGGGAUCUAAAAAACACUAUCCACAAGCAGAGGAUAAACCAUGGGAGUAAAAACAACAAGGAAAAGCAACUGCCUGACUACAGGGGUGGAGGUGAUAGGACUGAGGAGAGACUCUAAAUGAACACUCUAAUGCCAAUACCAACAACAUGGAAAUGGGUUAGAAACACAUGUGAUAACCAGUGGAAUCGU
Non-coding RNA from Monodelphis domestica (gray short-tailed opossum), 33523 nucleotides. Lineage: Eukaryota; Metazoa; Chordata; Mammalia; Didelphimorphia; Didelphidae. The record is from RefSeq and is a predicted model, not a curated record.